UUGUUAUUCUUAUCUCUAGAUUGAACGCUGGCGGCAGGCCUAACACAUGCAAGUCGAGCGGUAGCACAGAGAGCUUGCUCUCGGGUGACGAGCGGCGGACGGGUGAGUAAUGUCUGGGAAACUGCCUGAUGGAGGGGGAUAACUACUGGAAACGGUAGCUAAUACCGCAUAAUGUCGCAAGACCAAAGUGGGGGACCUUCGGGCCUCAUGCCAUCAGAUGUGCCCAGAUGGGAUUAGCUAGUAGGUGGGGUAACGGCUCACCUAGGCGACGAUCCCUAGCUGGUCUGAGAGGAUGACCAGCCACACUGGAACUGAGACACGGUCCAGACUCCUACGGGAGGCAGCAGUGGGGAAUAUUGCACAAUGGGCGCAAGCCUGAUGCAGCCAUGCCGCGUGUGUGAAGAAGGCCUUCGGGUUGUAAAGCACUUUCAGCGGGGAGGAAGGCGUUAAGGUUAAUAACCUUGGCGAUUGACGUUACCCGCAGAAGAAGCACCGGCUAACUCCGUGCCAGCAGCCGCGGUAAUACGGAGGGUGCAAGCGUUAAUCGGAAUUACUGGGCGUAAAGCGCACGCAGGCGGUCUGUCAAGUCGGAUGUGAAAUCCCCGGGCUCAACCUGGGAACUGCAUUCGAAACUGGCAGGCUAGAGUCUUGUAGAGGGGGGUAGAAUUCCAGGUGUAGCGGUGAAAUGCGUAGAGAUCUGGAGGAAUACCGGUGGCGAAGGCGGCCCCCUGGACAAAGACUGACGCUCAGGUGCGAAAGCGUGGGGAGCAAACAGGAUUAGAUACCCUGGUAGUCCACGCCGUAAACGAUGUCGAUUUGGAGGUUGUGCCCUUGAGGCGUGGCUUCCGGAGCUAACGCGUUAAAUCGACCGCCUGGGGAGUACGGCCGACUUGGUUAAAACUCAAAUGAAUUGACGGGGGCCCGCACAAGCGGUGGAGCAUGUGGUUUAAUUCGAUGCAACGCGAAGAACCUUACCUGGUCUUGACAUCCACAGAACUUACCAGAGAUGCAUUGGUGCCUUCGGGAACUGUGAGACAGGUGCUGCAUGGCUGUCGUCAGCUCGUGUUGUGAAAUGUUGGGUUAAGUCCCGCAACGAGCGCAACCCUUAUCCUUUGUUGCCAGCGGUUAGGCCGGGAACUCAAAGGAGACUGCCAGUGAUAAACUGGAGGAAGGUGGGGAUGACGUCAAGUCAUCAUGGCCCUUACGACCAGGGCUACACACGUGCUACAAUGGCAUAUACAAAGAGAAGCGACCUCGCGAGAGCAAGCGGACCUCAUAAAGUAUGUCGUAGUCCGGAUUGGAGUCUGCAACUCGACUCCAUGAAGUCGGAAUCGCUAGUAAUCGUAGAUCAGAAUGCUACGGUGAAUACGUUCCCGGGCCUUGUACACACCGCCCGUCACACCAUGGGAGUGGGUUGCAAAAGAAGUAGGUAGCUUAACCUUCGGGAGGGCGCUUACCACUUUGUGAUUCAUGACUGGGGUGAAUCAAAAGGGGGAAACAAAAAAAAAAA
Molecule: ribosomal RNA, 1510 nt
Filed under: Klebsiella pneumoniae
Lineage: Bacteria; Pseudomonadati; Pseudomonadota; Gammaproteobacteria; Enterobacterales; Enterobacteriaceae
Description: bacterial SSU rRNA
Rfam family: Bacterial small subunit ribosomal RNA
Source: RNAcentral